Molecule: ribosomal RNA, 1343 nt
Filed under: uncultured bacterium
Lineage: Bacteria
Description: 16S ribosomal RNA
Rfam family: Bacterial small subunit ribosomal RNA
Source: RNAcentral
GACGAACGCUGGCGGCGUGCUUAACACAUGCAAGUCGAACGGAAAGGCCCUGCUUUUGUGGGGUGCUCGAGUGGCGAACGGGUGAGUAACACGUGAGUAACCUGCCCUUGACUUUGGGAUAACUUCAGGAAACUGGGGCUAAUACCGGAUAGGAGCUCCUGCUGCAUGGUGGGGGUUGGAAAGUUUCGGCGGUUGGGGAUGGACUCGCGGCUUAUCAGCUUGUUGGUGGGGUAGUGGCUUACCAAGGCUUUGACGGGUAGCCGGCCUGAGAGGGUGACCGGCCACAUUGGGACUGAGAUACGGCCCAGACUCCUACGGGAGGCAGCAGUGGGGAAUAUUGCACAAUGGGCGGAAGCCUGAUGCAGCAACGCCGCGUGCGGGAUGACGGCCUUCGGGUUGUAAACCGCUUUCGCCUGUGACGAAGCGUGAGUGACGGUAAUGGGUAAAGAAGCACCGGCUAACUACGUGCCAGCAGCCGCGGUGAUACGUAGGGUGCGAGCGUUGUCCGGAUUUAUUGGGCGUAAAGGGCUCGUAGGUGGUUGAUCGCGUCGGAAGUGUAAUCUUGGGGCUUAACCCUGAGCGUGCUUUCGAUACGGGUUGACUUGAGGAAGGUAGGGGAGAAUGGAAUUCCUGGUGGAGCGGUGGAAUGCGCAGAUAUCAGGAGGAACACCAGUGGCGAAGGCGGUUCUCUGGGCCUUUCCUGACGCUGAGGAGCGAAAGCGUGGGGAGCGAACAGGCUUAGAUACCCUGGUAGUCCACGCUGUAAACGGUGGGUACUAGGUGUGGGGUCCAUUCCACGGGUUCCGUGCCGUAGCUAACGCUUUAAGUACCCCGCCUGGGGAGUACGGCCGCAAGGCUAAAACUCAAAGGAAUUGACGGGGCCCCGCACAAGCGGCGGAGCAUGCGGAUUAAUUCGAUGCAACGCGUAGAACCUUACCUGGGUUUGACAUGGAUCGGGAGUGCUCAGAGAUGGGUGUGCCUCUUUUGGGGUCGGUUCACAGGUGGUGCAUGGCUGUCGUCAGCUCGUGUCGUGAGAUGUUGGGUUAAGUCCCGCAACGAGCGCAACCCUUGUUCACUGUUGCCAGCACGUUAUGGUGGGGACUCAGUGGAGACCGCCGGGGUCAACUCGGAGGAAGGUGGGGAUGACGUCAAGUCAUCAUGCCCCUUAUGUCCAGGGCUUCACGCAUGCUACAAUGGCUGGUACAGAGAGUGGCGAGCCUGUGAGGGUGAGCGAAUCUCGGAAAGCCGGUCUCAGUUCGGAUUGGGGUCUGCAACUCGACCUCAUGAAGUCGGAGUCGCUAGUAAUCGCAGAUCAGCAACGCUGCGGUGAAUACGUCCCCGGG